RNAcentral lists this unclassified non-coding RNA (229 nucleotides) under plant metagenome. RNAcentral describes it as "partial contains small subunit ribosomal RNA, internal transcribed spacer 1, and 5.8S ribosomal RNA". The record is from RNAcentral.
CCUCCGUAGGUGAACCUGCGGAGGGAUCAUUACAGAGUUCAUGCCCUAACGGGUAGAUCUCCCACCCUAUGUUAUCAUCACUUUGUUGCUUUUGCGGGCCGUCAGGCCUCGGCUUGGCUACCGGCUCUCGCUGGCAAGCGCCCGCCAGAGCACCCCAAACCCUGAAUAUCAGUGUCGUCUGAGUACUAUAUAAUAGUUAAAACUUUCAACAACGGAUCUCUUGGUUCUG